Canis lupus familiaris (dog) is the source of this 1216-nucleotide long non-coding RNA. RefSeq lists it as uncharacterized. The transcript is spliced from 4 exons. NCBI's taxonomy places the organism in Eukaryota, Metazoa, Chordata, Mammalia, Carnivora, Canidae. The record is from RefSeq and is a predicted model, not a curated record.
GCCGCCUCCCUGCCUUAACCCCUAACGCGCCGCCGCCCCCGGGGCACAGUGUCCCCGUCGCCGCGGGCCACACCCCUUCGGGUCCCGGGUUCCCAGCCAGAUGGGCGGUGGCUACCGGGAGCACUGCGCUAGGAGUCACAUUCCCGGGAAGGAAUUCGGGUUGGGCCGCGCACGUGUUGAGUGAUUGGAGCUGGGUUAUUCCCCUCUCGCGUCUCCAUUUUCUCAGCAGUAAAAUGAGGAUAACACCCUCCCACUUCACAGGGACUUGGGGACUGCUGGGAACAGGGAUGCUGGGAACAGACUCCCUGCACCCCUUUUCUCCCCCCCGCAUGAUCUCCGGAUAUCAGGGGCUCCAGAAGGCCUCCCCUACCACACCCCCCUCCAAGAGGGAGACCCCCACCAACCAACCAGUUAGGAGUUGGCCAGUUCCUAACAAGCUGGGAAAGGGUGGGCAGCCCGCAAGUUGACCCCUACCCAACAGCCAUCACCAGAGUCCUUCCCAGGUGGCAAUCACCCCUCUGGGGCCACACCAAUUGCUUCGGAGUAUGCAAGGGGAAACCUCAAGCCAACUGGUUUUUCUGCUUGCUGCCAGGCCUUAGCCAGCCACGUGACGGGGCUUGGGCCCAGGUCUCAGGAAUGUCUCCAGACUGCUUCUGCCACAGACCCAGGGCUCUGAGCAAUGAUCCAGGUUGUAUAGGAGUUGGGCCACUGGCUAUCUGGAAGGCAGCCACAGCAUCCCAGCAGGAGUCCUGGGGGUAAAGACCAAAACCGAGAAUGCCGUAAAGGAGCAACUAUUCUUCGUAGCCGCUGACGGGUGGACUGCAGUGGAAGCCAGAAGACACCUGAGACAAGACAAUGCCACCACUGCCACCAAUGCAGACUGGGGACAGAAGAUGGCAGCCGGUCAGGCUUCCAAACGGUCGUUAUUUCUCUGCAGGAGGUGCUGAGUUCCGAGGGUGGGAGGAUCCUACUGGUAAAGAGGGGUGCUGGUAAAAAGGAGUCGAAGACUUCAAGACGGGUAAGAGGUGCACCCCUGGCCUGCCUGGGCCCCCGGCUGUGGAGCACGGCGCCUCCAGGCUGGCGCCCCGACGACGGGAGCCACUGCUGGCGCCUCUCCGCGCCGGCCCUCGGCCCUCGGCACUGAAAGUGUGGCACCCACCCAAGGCGGUGCAUGAGAGCAGAGGCGCUGGCCAAGGCAGGACCUCCUCGGCUUGCC